This 253-nucleotide ribosomal RNA is filed under the name uncultured bacterium. Its description in RNAcentral is "partial 16S ribosomal RNA". It matches the Rfam family "Bacterial small subunit ribosomal RNA", at positions 524 to 776 of the family's 1533-position model. The record is from RNAcentral. RNAcentral also lists the same sequence under 1 other name.
UACGGAGGGAGCUAGCGUUAUUCGGAAUUACUGGGCGUAAAGCGCACGUAGGCGGCUUUGUAAGUAAGAGGUGAAAGCCUGGUGCUCAACACCAGAACUGCCUUUUAGACUGCAUCGCUUGAAUCCAGGAGAGGUGAGUGGAAUUCCGAGUGUAGAGGUGAAAUUCGUAGAUAUUCGGAAGAACACCAGUGGCGAAGGCGGCUCACUGGACUGGUAUUGACGCUGAGGUGCGAAAGCGUGGGGAGCAAACAGG